UACGGAGGGGGCUAGCGUUGUUCGGAAUUACUGGGCGUAAAGCGCGCGUAGGCGGACCUGCAAGUCGGGGGUGAAAGCCCGAGGCUCAACCUCGGAACUGCCUUCGAUACUGCGGGUCUCGAGUCCGGGAGAGGUGAGUGGAAUUUACGGUGUAGCAGUGAAAUGCGUAGAUAUCGUAAGGAAGACCAGUGGCGAAGGCGAAUCUCUGGACAGUUACUGACACUGAGGCUCGAAGGCCAGGGGAGCAAACGGG
This 253-nucleotide ribosomal RNA is filed under the name uncultured bacterium. RNAcentral describes it as "partial 16S ribosomal RNA". It matches the Rfam family "Bacterial small subunit ribosomal RNA", at positions 524 to 776 of the family's 1533-position model. The record is from RNAcentral.